RNAcentral lists this unclassified non-coding RNA (240 nucleotides) under uncultured fungus. Its description in RNAcentral is "partial contains 5.8S ribosomal RNA, internal transcribed spacer 2, and large subunit ribosomal RNA". The stretch from base 1 to 52 matches the Rfam family "5.8S ribosomal RNA", at positions 103 to 154 of the family's 154-position model. Lineage: Eukaryota; Fungi. The record is from RNAcentral.
AACGCACAUUGCGCCCCUUGGUAUUCCGAGGGGCAUGCCUGUUCGAGCGUCAUUUUGACCACUCCCGCUUGCGGGGUCUUGGGCCCUUCGCCUCUGGGCGGGCCUUAAAAUCAGUGGCGGUGCCGUCCGGCUCUAAGCGUAGUAAAUCUCCUCGCUAUAGGGUUCCGGAGGGAUGCUGGCCAACAACCCCCAACUUUUAAGGUUGACCUCGGAUCAGGUAGGGAUACCCGCUGAACUUAA